UUCCGGUUGAUCCUGCCGGAGGUUACUGCUAUCGAGGUUCGACUAAGCCAUGCGAGUCGAAUGUAGCAAUACAUGGCGAACUGCUCAGUAACACGUGGACAACCUGCCCUUAGGACGGGGAUAAACCCGGGAAACUGGGUAUAAUACCCGAUAGGUCUCGAUUGCUGGAAUGCAUCGAGAUUUAAAGCUCCGGCGCCUAAGGAUGGGUCUGCGGCCUAUCAGGUAGUAGUGGGUGUAGCGUACCUACUAGCCUACGACGGGUACGGGUUGUGAGAGCAAGAGCCCGGAGAUGGAUUCUGAGACACGAAUCCAGGCCCUACGGGGUGCAGCAGGCGCGAAAACUUUACAAUGCUGGCAACAGCGAUAAGGGAACCUCGAGUGCCAGGUUACAAAUCUGGCUGUCGAGAUGCCUAAAAAGCAUUUCAUAGCAAGGGCCGGGCAAGACCGGUGCCAGCCGCCGCGGUAACACCGGCGGCUCGAGUGGUAACCGUUAUUAUUGGGUCUAAAGGGUCUGUAGCCGGCCGGAUAAGUCUCUUGAGAAAUCUGGCAGCUUAACUGUCAGGCUUUCAGGAGAUACUGUCUGGCUCGAGGCCGGGAGAGGUGAGAGGUACUUCAGGGGUAGGGGUGAAAUCUUGUAAUCCUUGAAGGACCACCAGUGGCGAAGGCGUCUCACCAGAACGGACCUGACGGCAAGGGACGAAAGCUAGGGGCACGAACCGGAUUAGAUACCCGGGUAGUCCUAGCCGUAAACGAUACUCGCUAGGUGUCGGCCACGGUGCGACCGUUGUCGGUGCCGUAGGGAAGCCGUGAAGCGAGCCACCUGGGAAGUACGGCCGCAAGGCUGAAACUUAAAGGAAUUGGCGGGGGAGCACCACAACGGGUGGAGCUUGCGGUUUAAUUGGAGUCAACGCCGGA
This 915-nucleotide ribosomal RNA is filed under the name Methanosaeta sp. enrichment culture clone AB2. RNAcentral's name for it is "bacterial SSU rRNA". It matches the Rfam family "Archaeal small subunit ribosomal RNA", at positions 1 to 922 of the family's 1478-position model. RNAcentral also lists the same sequence under 1 other name. The record is from RNAcentral. Lineage: Archaea; Methanobacteriati; Methanobacteriota; Methanomicrobia; Methanotrichales; Methanotrichaceae.